UGGGGAAUAUUGCGCAAUGGGGGGAACCCUGACGCAGCAACGCCGCGUGAAGGAAGAAGGUUUUCGGAUUGUAAACUUCAGCAAGCAGGGAAGAAAGAAAUGACGGUACCUGAACAAAAGCCACGGCUAACUACGUGCCAGCAGCCGCGGUAAUACGUAGGUGGCAAGCGUUGUCCGGAUUUACUGGGUGUAAAGGGCGCGUAGGCGGGCAUGUAAGUCAGACGUGAAAUACCGGGGCUCAACCCCGGGGCUGCGUUUGAAACUGCAAGUCUUGAGUGCCGGAGAGGAAAGCGGAAUUCCUAGUGUAGCGGUGAAAUGCGUAGAUAUUAGGAGGAACACCAGUGGCGAAGGCGGCUUUCUGGACGGUAACUGACGCUGAGGCGCGAAAGCGUGGGGAGCAAACAGG
RNAcentral lists this ribosomal RNA (406 nucleotides) under uncultured bacterium. RNAcentral's name for it is "bacterial SSU rRNA". It matches the Rfam family "Bacterial small subunit ribosomal RNA", at positions 355 to 776 of the family's 1533-position model. The record is from RNAcentral.